GGAUCAGUACGCUGGUCGUGCCUUGGUAUGUACUGGUGUUACUGGUUCCUACCUUCUGACGAACCGUCAUGUCAUUAAUUUGGUGUGGCGGGGAAUCAGGACUGUUACUUUGAAAAAAUUAGAGUGUUUAAAGCAGGCUCGCGCUUGAAUACAUUAGCAUGGAAUAAUGAAAUAGGACGUUCGAUCCUAUUUUGUUGGUUUCUAGGAUUGACGUA
This 215-nucleotide ribosomal RNA is filed under the name Campeiostachys nutans. Its description in RNAcentral is "Elymus nutans partial small subunit ribosomal RNA". The stretch from base 37 to 215 matches the Rfam family "Eukaryotic small subunit ribosomal RNA", at positions 684 to 864 of the family's 1831-position model. RNAcentral also lists the same sequence under 1 other name. The record is from RNAcentral. Lineage: Eukaryota; Viridiplantae; Streptophyta; Magnoliopsida; Poales; Poaceae.